RNAcentral lists this ribosomal RNA (210 nucleotides) under Prymnesium parvum. RNAcentral describes it as "partial Bacterial small subunit ribosomal RNA". It matches the Rfam family "Bacterial small subunit ribosomal RNA", at positions 145 to 354 of the family's 1533-position model. Lineage: Eukaryota; Haptophyta; Prymnesiales; Prymnesiaceae. The record is from RNAcentral.
AACAGUUGGAAACGGCUGCUAAUACCGCAUAAGCGCACAGUACCGCAUGGUACCGUGUGAAAAACUCCGGUGGUAUGAGAUGGACCCGCGUCUGAUUAGCUAGUUGGUAAGGUAACGGCUUACCAAGGCGAUGACGGGUAGGGGACCUGAGAGGGUGACCCCCCACAAUGGAACUGAAACACGGUCCAUACACCUACGGGUGGCAGUAGG